This is a long non-coding RNA of Balaenoptera musculus (blue whale), 280 nucleotides long. RefSeq lists it as uncharacterized. The transcript has 2 exons. Lineage: Eukaryota; Metazoa; Chordata; Mammalia; Artiodactyla; Balaenopteridae. The record is from RefSeq and is a predicted model, not a curated record.
CUUCUCCAAUGCUAAAAUUUAUCAUCCUCACAAUCAUACUAAUACCCCUAACUUGGCUAUCAAAAAGUAUAGUAUAAUCUGAAUUAACUCCACAACCCACAGCCUACUAAUUAGUCUCACAAGCCUACUUCUUCUUAACCAAUUCAAUGACAAUAGCCUCAACUUCUCAUUAACAUUCUUCUCUGACUCCCUCUCCCCACCAUUACUAAUCCUAACAAUAUGACUCCUUCCCCUAAUACUAAUAGCCAGCCAAUCUUACCUACUCAAAGAGCCACUAAUC